RNAcentral lists this transfer RNA (90 nucleotides) under Chloroflexi bacterium RIFOXYC12_FULL_59_14. RNAcentral describes it as "tRNA-Ser". It matches the Rfam family "tRNA". From Rfam's summary of the family: Transfer RNA (tRNA) molecules are approximately 80 nucleotides in length. Their secondary structure includes four short double-helical elements and three loops (D, anti-codon, and T loops). The record is from RNAcentral. Lineage: Bacteria; Bacillati; Chloroflexota.
GGAGAGGUCGCGUAGCCCGGCUUAGCGCGCACGCUUGGAAAGCGUGUAACCCAAAAAGGUUCGCGGGUUCGAAUCCCGCCCUCUCCGCCA